Molecule: long non-coding RNA, 463 nt
Filed under: Selaginella moellendorffii
Lineage: Eukaryota; Viridiplantae; Streptophyta; Lycopodiopsida; Selaginellales; Selaginellaceae
Description: long non-coding RNA (SMOE_LNC000325)
Source: RNAcentral
CCCCCUCGAGCCAGUCCAGGCUCAAAUCUCUUGCCAGGAGCAUCACUCCCUCUUUGAUCGCUCGCGGCUCGACUAUCUCACCAGAAUUCUGGAAGAAAACGAUGAGGAGCUCCUCCUCCAGCUGCCACAACAACAGCAAACCUCUUACCAGGUACUGCUCCGCGAGCUCACGGAAAUUGUCUCCUGUUGUCUCUCCCCCAAUUCUUGUGCCAGCAGUUCCUUGUCCAUGGACGCCGCCUCUCCUCCUCAUUCUCCCUCGCGCACCUCCAGCGUCUCCUUCCACAGCUUGCUCAUGGACUGCGCCCGAGCAGUGGCUGCCAACAACUCCACCAAAGUCCAUGAGCUCGUGAGAGAGAUCAGAACUUUAGCCUCACCUCAGUCGCGUCCAGUGGAGAAGGCCGCGCUCUACUUCACCAACGCGCUCGUCGCGAGGCUGGCCGGGUGUGGAGCUCGGAUGUACGCC